GAUCAUGGCUCAGAUUGAACGCUGGCGGUAGGCUUAACACAUGCAAGUCGAACGGUAACAUAAAGAAGCUUGCUUCUUUGAUGACGAGUGGCGGACGGGUGAGUAAUGCUUGGGAAUCUAGCUUAUGGAGGGGGAUAACUACGGGAAACUGUAGCUAAUACCGCGUAAUAUCGAAAGAUUAAAGUGUGGGACCUUCAGGCCACAUGCCAUAGGAUGAGCCCAAGUGGGAUUAGGUAGUUGGUGAGG
This 246-nucleotide ribosomal RNA is filed under the name uncultured bacterium. RNAcentral describes it as "partial 16S ribosomal RNA". It matches the Rfam family "Bacterial small subunit ribosomal RNA", at positions 15 to 257 of the family's 1533-position model. The record is from RNAcentral.